RNAcentral lists this ribosomal RNA (424 nucleotides) under bacterium. RNAcentral describes it as "partial 16S ribosomal RNA". It matches the Rfam family "Bacterial small subunit ribosomal RNA", at positions 355 to 776 of the family's 1533-position model. RNAcentral also lists the same sequence under 1 other name. The record is from RNAcentral.
UGAGGAAUAUUGGUCAAUGGACGCAAGUCUGAACCAGCCAAGUAGCGUGCAGGAUGACGGCCCUAUGGGUUGUAAACUGCUUUUAUGUGGGAAUAAAGUGGCGCACGUGUGCGCCAUUGCAUGUACCUCAUGAAUAAGGACCGGCUAAUUCCGUGCCAGCAGCCGCGGUAAUACGGAAGGUCCGGGCGUUAUCCGGAUUUAUUGGGUUUAAAGGGAGUGUAGGCGGUCUGUUAAGCGUGUUGUGAAAUUUAGGUGCUCAACAUUUAACUUGCAGCGCGAACUGUCAGACUUGAGUACACGCAGCGCAGGCGGAAUUCAUGGUGUAGCGGUGAAAUGCUUAGAUAUCAUGAGGAACUCCGAUCGCGAAGGCAGCCUGCGGGAGUGUUACUGACGCUUAAGCUCGAAGGUGCGGGUAUCGAACAGG